CUCCCACAAACACCUCCAUUGCACCAACAGACAAUGUUGGGGUCUAUGGGAGAUGAGAUUUUUAGGCCACCAUACCAGCUUUCAGGCCUGAAUUGGUAUUCUUGAGUCUUGAUUCAUUCAAGGUGGAGGGAGAUGUGAUAUAUAUACAUAUAUAUAGUGUCUUGAUUAGUUCUAUAUUCGGGGAAGAAUGGCAAAAUGAGAUGUUAUAUACUUGUUCAUAAGUACAGUUGAAACUAGUUAUAUAUCAGCUUCAGAUUGGGAUUGUUGAGAUUUUGGUUGUUAGGGAUGAGAUUAGAGAGUAAUUCAUUGGCCUCCAGUAUCUUCCAGGGUAACGUGUAGCUGCCAAUUUCCUGGUAAGGCCAUCGAUACUCUCAUAUAUAUAUAUAUAUACAUACAUAGGUUCAUAUAUAUGAUAUAUAUAGUUCGCAAUAUAUACAUAUUUGGUUGUUAUAAUUAGGCACUCAAAAGGAAAAAUUGAGAUGUUCAUCUUCAUGUAGAAAAAUAAAAUUGAUAAAUGAUAUAUA
RNAcentral lists this unclassified non-coding RNA (524 nucleotides) under Hevea brasiliensis (rubber tree). Lineage: Eukaryota; Viridiplantae; Streptophyta; Magnoliopsida; Malpighiales; Euphorbiaceae. The record is from RNAcentral.